AGCGAACGCUGGCGGCGUACUUAACACAUGCAAGUCGAACGAGGAUCACUACGUGAGCAAUCAUGCGGCGGUUCUAGUGGCGUAUGGGUGAGUAACACGUGGGCAACCUGCCCUGGAGCCUGGGAUACCCUCUCGAAAGGGAGGCUAAUACCGGAUACGUUCCCCGGGUCGCGAGAUCUGGGGGAGGAAAGGUGGCGCAAGCUGCCGCUCUUGGAGGGGCUCGCGGCCUACAGCUAGUUGGUGAGGUAAUGGCUCACCAAGG
RNAcentral lists this ribosomal RNA (262 nucleotides) under uncultured bacterium. RNAcentral describes it as "partial 16S ribosomal RNA". It matches the Rfam family "Bacterial small subunit ribosomal RNA", at positions 29 to 273 of the family's 1533-position model. The record is from RNAcentral.